RNAcentral lists this ribosomal RNA (433 nucleotides) under uncultured bacterium. RNAcentral describes it as "partial 16S ribosomal RNA". It matches the Rfam family "Bacterial small subunit ribosomal RNA", at positions 29 to 507 of the family's 1533-position model. The record is from RNAcentral.
AACGAACGCUGGCGGCAUGCCUAACACAUGCAAGUCGAACGAGACCUUCGGGUCUAGUGGCGCACGGGUGCGUAACGCGUGGGAACCUGCCCUUAGGUUCGGAAUAACUCCCCGAAAGGGGUGCUAAUACCGGCUAAUGUCUUCGGCCCAAAGAUUAAUCGCCUUUGGAUGGGCCCGCGUUGGAUUAGCUAGUUGGUAGGGUAAAAGCCUACCAAGGCGACGAUCCAUAGCUGGUCUGAGAGGAUGAUCAGACACACUGGGACUGAGACACGGCCCAGACUCCUACGGGAGGCAGCAGUGGGGAAUAUUGGACAAUGGGCGAAAGCCUGAUCCAGCAAUGCCGCGUGAGUGAUGAAGGCCUUAGGGUUGUAAAGCUCUUUUACCCGGGAUGAUAAUGACAGUACCGGGAGAAUAAGCACCGGCUAACUCCGUG